This 507-nucleotide long non-coding RNA is filed under the name Sus scrofa (pig). RNAcentral describes it as "lncRNA (ENSSSCG00025012930.1)". The record is from RNAcentral. Lineage: Eukaryota; Metazoa; Chordata; Mammalia; Artiodactyla; Suidae.
AUCGACCCCUAGCUGGGAAUCUCUAUCUGCUGUGGGUGCAGCCCUAAAAAGACCAAAAAACCCCCAAAAAACAAAAGCCCUCUUUUUGUAAGAACAAUAGUCAUUGAACUAGGGUUUAGUUUAAUCCACUAUGGCCUCCUCUUAACUUGAUCGCAGUGCCCUCCCCCGCCCCCCACGGACACAUCUGUCAUCACUCUCUGCUUCUACAGGUUGAACUUUGAAAACUCCAAGCAAAACAUAAAUGACAGCUUUUAAAAAGUAUAAUUGAUAGUAAAAGCUAUAUGACUUCAUAAACUUGGACAUAUAAACGAACAUCCGUGUUAAAUCAUACAAAUCAAGGUGCCAAGAUUGGAGUGGGGGAGACGCCCAAGACACAUCGACACGUUAGGGCAGGUGCAGGUGUCUGCUGUGAAGGAGGCGGCAGAGACAAGGACCCAGAGGGAUGGAAGAAGGCGUUUCUGCUCAGGUGAGACGAGGGCAUCAGGGUCCAGACCUGCCAGGAACGUG